GCGGGCAUAGUUUAAAUAAAACACUAAACUGUGGACUUAGCAACAGGG
This 48-nucleotide transfer RNA is filed under the name Saurodactylus fasciatus. Its description in RNAcentral is "partial tRNA-His". The record is from RNAcentral. Lineage: Eukaryota; Metazoa; Chordata; Lepidosauria; Squamata; Sphaerodactylidae.